CACACACACACACACACACACACACUGGUCAGACACUACAUUUUUGUGCCUCCUGUUUGGGCCUUUCACUGUAGUCUGACAAGUUUCUCUCAUACACAUCAGAUUCACACACAGACACAGACACGCACACACAGUUCUCCAGAACCACCCCAUUCCUUCUCUUUUGCGCACUUCUGAGGCUAAUAGCACAUUCCUACGGGCAUGACUAAGAGGGCGCCGGCAGUAAAGAAAAGUGAUGAUGAAACGCUUUCAGGAAUCCUCCCGAAUUGCUUCAUCAGAUCAUGGCUUUGUGAGCGUUUGAUGUGGCAGAUCGCCAGUCCUCACACACCAGAAGAGCCCCGCCCACCGACCUUCACACACCCACGUUCCUAACCCUGCCGUUGCCUGGAAACGCUGUGUUGCUAUGCCGACAGAACACAUACGCGGAAGUGUUUUUUUUUUUGUGUGUGUGUGUGUCUAAUUGUCAGAGAGCGGGAAACGUUCCCAGCCUAGCCUUUUGAUCUACAGCAUGGUCCUGACAGGCUGAGCUGUGCAAAUGUGUGUGUGUGUGUAAUAACGUGCAUGCUCUUUACACAUCACUUAUCAAUCUGCACUACUCCACUGCAACGCAACGCAAUGCAUCAAUAAGCCCAUGAAACAAACACAACUGCGACACAUCACGCUGUCAGAUUAGGAUUUAGGCAACUGCUUUAUUUAGCUGGAAACUGGAGCGUGUGCAAAGAAGUCAGUCAGUGCGCCAAUACUUCUUCUUUCUUCUUUCUCUAUAAACUUCCUGCUUGAAUUUCCUUUAAAUGUUUGAUUGUAGACUUCAGUCGAAAACCAGUGCUGGGGAUGUUUCCAGUUUUGUGAGUGGUUUCUGGUAGCUUGGAUGCUGAUAAACAUAUAAAGCAAACAAACAAACAAAUAAAUCUCAUUAUAAGACAAUUAUAUAACAAAAAUAAAGCUUACUUGCCAUAUAUCUAGGCAUUUUUACCCAUUGUAAGCAAGUGUUUGAAAUAGUUCUGUCCCGUUAGCCAGAACUUUGUUUCUUUUUCUUGCUAAUUCAGACAGGGAAGCACAUUCUGUUAUUGCUAACCUUUGGUCAAAAUGAGCUAAACAGACUCCAGUUUAUUACAUGAUCUUAACUAGCUGACGAAUUUCUUAGUAAGUUAGUUUUCUAUGAAGAUUUGCUAGGUAUUUCCAUACACUGGCUAGACAACAAGCUAACUGCUGAAUAUAUUACAUAUGCUUAGCUAGCUGAUAACAUUCACAAUGUGUUAGUAUGUUAGUUUUUGAUGUGAAUGUUGGUUAGUUAUUGCUAAACAUUAGCUAGCCAACCAACAUUAGCUUACCAGCCAAGUAGCUGUAGUUCAAGUCUUGUUUUUUUUUGCUAAUUCCCAGUCAAGCAGCUUCACAGUUCUUUUUACAAAAAGGUAGGAAAAUCCCAACUCAUCUCUUAGUUUAAGAGCCCACAAUAAAUUGCAUGAUCUUAGCUAGCUAAUGUGUUUGUUAGUUAUCUCUCAUAGUGAACGUUUGCUAGUUAUUUUUAAACAUUAGCUGCAAGCUCGCUACGGACAUAUAUGACAGCAGCUGUAGAUCAGGUCAUGUUGUUUGCUAACAGUAUUAUUAAUAGUUAUUUCUAGACGUGAGCUAAAUAACAAGCUAAGCUACCAGAUGGCCUUAGCUUCUAGUCUUGAUUGCUAAUUCAGCCCAUAGAAAUCUUCACAGCUGAUUCUUCCCUUCACUUGCUUCUAGCUUUACAGAAUUUCUACACAUAUUCUGAGGUAGAAAAUAAUAAUUUUUGUUAUUAUGUUAUUGAAAUAUUACUUUGUGUGAAACUGUGUAAGUUAAGGGCAUAUGCUAGCUUCCAUUUACAUUAGCUAACAACAAGCUAGCUGCUGAAAGCUGUCAAUGGUUAUAGAUUGGAGAGUGUAGAAGAGGCGUGUACAUGUCUGUUACUGAGGUAAUGGAUGUAUAGUUUAGUCAGGUCUUUCGAGUGCUUGGCACUGGUUAGUGAACUCUUACACAAGCAAAACAAAGCAUUUCUAUUUUAAACCCUUCUUUUGUGGGGAGUCAUAUCAGACGCUGCAGAAGUAGCGCCACUGAUGCGUUCACCAGCAGUGUCUCGGUUUCAUUUUUGAGAGCUGCACGUUAACACGUUAAAGAUGUCCUCUCUAAGAGUCCUCUUUAGACACUUUGCGUUUUGUGAGGACUUUACAAAACUUGCUUUACUUAUUAUUUAUCACUUAUUACCCCCAACACACACAAACACACAGACAUACACACACACACACACACACACCCUCCCCCAUCCUCCUCCUCCUCUCCUUUCCAUCACAUUGGAAAAACAAACCCGGUUACAGUCAGACGCUUCAAAGCCCUGCAUGUUGCAGAUAAAGACAUCAAAGGGUUUCUUUCAGAUGCAAAUUGGUGCGCUGCGCUCACGGGUUUGAAAGUAAACAUGUUUCAGCAUCAUCACAAUUAUUCAUCAGCGCAGCACUUUCACAAUGAGACAGAGGAUUAUGGGAGGAGAGGGAACAGCACUCGCUGGCUGAAGUGGCUGGAUCCGGUUUGCAGUAUGGAGAUGAUCCUGGAAAGUCCCAUUGACACUUAUGCAAAAAUACUUUAGAAUACAUUAUACAACAGAGCUGAUGAAUUCUCAAAUCUGAUUGGUCGAGAAAGCGUGCUUGUUAAUAUGCCUGUUCUAACAUAACAGCGAUUGUAUGGACUAUAGAUAUAUUAGAUAUAGCUUUGCUCACUGAUAUUCCACAAUAUUAAAUGCUAAUUUCAUUUGAAGUCAUGAAUAAAUAAAAUACUGAUAUAAGAGGAAUAAAAUGGUUUGCUGUAAUUGGAAAAUAAUAAUAAUGACAGCACCUCGUCUCUGUUUAUUUUCCCUUAACAGCAUGCAGUGUUGUGUUUUAGUUCUUAGACAAUUGAUACAUCAUUUAUCAUUACUUAUCUGUUUAGGUAAGUCAAGCUGACAUUAUGCUUCAUUACAGAAAGUGAGACAAGAUUUAAAGCCUACUGCUACAUUAAGCCAGCGAAUAGCAGCAGUGUCUGAAUCAGCGUACAGCAUUGGCAUUUCUCUCAAGCUCAAGUUGGCACAUGGUGGAGCUGCUUAGGCAGCCUUUUUUCUGCAAUGUGCUGGAGACCGUGGCAUCUGUCGCCCGUCUCGUAUGACAGGGUGGAGGACUCGUGGCCGGCCAGGCUCUCUGUAACUCGGCCCGGCUGCAGGGGUAUCAACUGGUUUGCCCUUUUAGCGUCCUCACGUUGGCUCUGUUUCCCUUGUUACCAUCACUAGCAGCUGACGCUCCGGAGCUGGGGCGGGUGUGUAGGAAGGGUGCUGGUUGGGUGUAUUUUAAGAUUUAAGGUUUGUAUUUUUAGGACAGCUGUAGCCUACGACAUUCAUCACAUUCCCAGGUGGAUGAAAAUAAACAAACAAAGCCCGGGUUACUGAAGGAAGCAGCUGGUGAGGAUGGGUAGACUCUUAAAGGCACACACUGGCAGGCCCCUAAGUGUUGAUGACUCGUCAUAAAAAUGGCUGCUCCUUCUCC
This is a long non-coding RNA of Hemibagrus wyckioides, 3533 nucleotides long. RefSeq lists it as uncharacterized. Lineage: Eukaryota; Metazoa; Chordata; Actinopteri; Siluriformes; Bagridae. The transcript has 3 exons. The record is from RefSeq and is a predicted model, not a curated record.